CCAAUAGCGUAUAUUAAAGUUGUUGCAGUUAAAAAGCUCGUAGUUGAAUUUCGGGAUCAGUGCGCUGGUCGUGCCUUGGUAUGUACUGGUGUUACUGGUUCCUACCUUCUGACGAACCGUCAUGUCAUUAAUUUGGUGUGGCGGGGAAUCAGGACUGUUACUUUGAAAAAAUUAGAGUGUUUAAAGCAGGCUCGCGCUUGAAUACAUUAGCAUGGAAUAAUGAAAUAGGACGUUUGAUCCUAUUUUGUUGGUUUCUAGGAUUGACGUAAUGAUUAAUAGGGAUAGUUGGGGGCAUUAGUAUUCAAUUGUCAGAGGUGAAAUUCUUGGAUUUAUUGAAGACUAACUACUGCGAAAGCAUUUGCCAAGGAUGUUUUCAUUAAUCAAGAACGAAAGUUAGGGGAUCGAAGACGAUCAGAUACCGUCGUAGUCUUAACCAUAAACUAUGCCGACUAGGGAUCGGAUGAUGUUAAUUUUUUAAUGACUCAUUCGGCGCCUUACG
RNAcentral lists this ribosomal RNA (499 nucleotides) under uncultured Glomeromycotina. RNAcentral's name for it is "partial small subunit ribosomal RNA". It matches the Rfam family "Eukaryotic small subunit ribosomal RNA", at positions 591 to 1092 of the family's 1831-position model. The record is from RNAcentral. Lineage: Eukaryota; Fungi; Glomeromycota.